This 404-nucleotide ribosomal RNA is filed under the name Actinomycetes bacterium. RNAcentral describes it as "Actinobacteria bacterium partial 16S ribosomal RNA". It matches the Rfam family "Bacterial small subunit ribosomal RNA", at positions 355 to 776 of the family's 1533-position model. RNAcentral also lists the same sequence under 1 other name. Lineage: Bacteria; Bacillati; Actinomycetota; Actinomycetes. The record is from RNAcentral.
UGGGGAAUAUUGGACAAUGGGCGCAAGCCUGAUCCAGCCAUGCCGCGUGAGUGAUGAAGGCCCUAGGGUUGUAAAGCUCUUUCACCGGUGAAGAUAAUGACGGUAACCGGAGAAGAAGCCCCGGCUAACUUCGUGCCAGCAGCCGCGGUAUUACGAAGGGGGCUAGCGUUGUUCGGAUUUACUGGGCGUAAAGCGCACGUAGGCGGACUUUUAAGUCAGGGGUGAAAUCCCGGGGCUCAACCCCGGAACUGCCUUUGAUACUGGAAGUCUUGAGUAUGGUAGAGGUGAGUGGAAUUCCGAGUGUAGAGGUGAAAUUCGUAGAUAUUCGGAGGAACACCAGUGGCGAAGGCGGCUCACUGGACCAUUACUGACGCUGAGGUGCGAAAGCGUGGGGAGCAAACAGG